This 76-nucleotide microRNA precursor is filed under the name Myotis lucifugus (little brown bat). RNAcentral's name for it is "mir-9229 microRNA precursor family". It matches the Rfam family "mir-9229 microRNA precursor family". Lineage: Eukaryota; Metazoa; Chordata; Mammalia; Chiroptera; Vespertilionidae. The record is from Rfam by way of RNAcentral.
GAGACACCCUUCUGGGGCAAGACUUGCUUCAGUGGGGCUUUGGUGUUCACAGAGUCUGCCCCCUGAGUGUGUCCCU